GAGAGAGAGAGAGACUUCGCGCGUGUCGUUCACGCGCCGCUGCCGGAAAUCGUCGCCGCCGGUAGGCUCCGCCGUCGCCGCCGGUGACCAACACCGGUGGCUCGCCGGCGACUCGGUCAACUCGGCCGAGUCAACCCGGUGAGUCAACUCGGUUGACUCGGUAAACCGGUGGAUUGACUGGUUUGACCGGUUUAAAUUGAUUUCGGUUCGGUUAGGGUAAACCGGUCGGUUUAGUCAAAUCGAUUUUUGGUCAAAGAUUGACCGGGUUGACUUUGACCAGCAGGUUGACUUUUUCGCAAACCUUGACUAGUUCCGUUUUCGACCGUUCGAAAGGCGUUCUCUGACUCAGAAUUUCGAUCUGAUUUCAGAUAUGGAGUCUAUUUGAGCAGCUAGAGUUCAUAGACAACACUUUUCUAUUGCUAAGAUAUGGAGUCUAUUUGAGCAGCUAGAGUUCAUAGACAACACUUUUCUAUUGCUAAGGUGAGACAAACAAGUAUGUGAUAUUUGGACGGACUUGGUGCUACUGGACUUUUCUUUCGGAUUUUAUUUGGGCAUGGGUGAGAGUUUUCGGGUUUAUGGGCUUUUAUAUUACGGGAUAUUGUUGGUGACCCGUCGUCCUUAGUGUCAGGGAGACGGGUGUCACAUUGUUGUAUGAUGACGCAUCGGGGGUGACACGCUGUCCUCCAUAUAGGAGGUGACGGGUGUCACAAUAUUGUUUGUAAAUCUUAAGCAAUAAUUGGAUGGCCACGCAAAGAAUUACCCAUAAAGGUUUAUACUUUCUCAGAUUAAUUUAAUAAAUUAAAAUAUAGAAAUUGUUAAGAAAUAACUUAUAAUUUAUAGUAU
This is a long non-coding RNA of Brassica napus (rape), 843 nucleotides long. RefSeq lists it as uncharacterized. Lineage: Eukaryota; Viridiplantae; Streptophyta; Magnoliopsida; Brassicales; Brassicaceae. The record is from RefSeq and is a predicted model, not a curated record. The transcript is spliced from 3 exons.